Molecule: ribosomal RNA, 461 nt
Filed under: uncultured bacterium
Lineage: Bacteria
Description: bacterial SSU rRNA
Rfam family: Bacterial small subunit ribosomal RNA
Source: RNAcentral
UACGGGAGGCAGCAGUGGGGAAUAUUGCACAAUGGGGGAAACCCUGAUGCAGCCAUGCCGCGUGUGUGAAGAAGGCCUUCGGGUUGUAAAGCACUUUCAGUAGGGAGGAAGGUAGUGUAGUUAACACCUGCAUUAUUUGACGUUACCUACAGAAGAAGCACCGGCUAACUCCGUGCCAGCAGCCGCGGUAAUACGGAGGGUGCGAGCGUUAAUCGGAAUUACUGGGCGUAAAGCGCAUGCAGGCGGCCUGUUAAGUCAGAUGUGAAAGCCCCGGGGCUUAACCUCGGAAUUGCAUUUGAAACUGGCAGGCUAGAGUCUUGUAGAGGGGGUAGAAUUUCAGGUGUAGCGGUGAAAUGCGUAGAGAUCUGAAGGAAUACCAGUGGCGAAGGCGGCCCCCUGGACAGAUACUGACACUCAGAUGCGAAAGCGUGGGGAGCAAACAGGAUUAGAUACCCUGGUAG